AAACAACUCUCAGCAACGGAUAUCUUGGCUCUUGCAACGAUGAAGAACGCAGAGAAAUGCGAUACGUAGUGUGAAUUGCAGAAUUCCGCGAAUCAUCGAGUCUUUGAACGCAAGUUGCGCCCGAGGCUUGUCCGAGGGCAUUUCCGCUAGAGCGUCACC
This 159-nucleotide ribosomal RNA is filed under the name Stereodon callichrous. RNAcentral describes it as "5.8S ribosomal RNA". It matches the Rfam family "5.8S ribosomal RNA". From Rfam's summary of the family: 5.8S ribosomal RNA (5.8S rRNA) is a component of the large subunit of the eukaryotic ribosome. It is transcribed by RNA polymerase I as part of the 45S precursor that also contains 18S and 28S rRNA. The record is from RNAcentral. Lineage: Eukaryota; Viridiplantae; Streptophyta; Bryopsida; Hypnales; Stereodontaceae.